Molecule: non-coding RNA, 104 nt
Organism: Lentinula aff. lateritia
Lineage: Eukaryota; Fungi; Basidiomycota; Agaricomycetes; Agaricales; Omphalotaceae
Source: the annotation of a GenBank genome assembly
GGUCCGAUGGCGUAGCUGGUUAUCGCAUCUGUCUCACACAUUUGAGUUUUCCCGCAAGGGGGGUGCGGCACAGAAGGUCCCCGGUUCGAGCCCGGGUCGGACCA